GCGAGUGGCGAACGGGUGAGUAACGCGUGAGGAACCUGCCUCAAAGAGGGGGACAACAGUUGGAAACGACUGCUAAUACCGCAUAAGCCCACGGUGCCGCAUGGCACAGAGGGAAAAGGAGCAAUCCGCUUUGAGAUGGCCUCGCGUCCGAUUAGCUAGUUGGUGAGGUAAUGGCCCACCAAGGCGACGAUCGGUAGCCGGACUGAGAGGUUGAACGGCCACAUUGGGACUGAGACACGGCCCAGACUCCUACGGGAGGCAGCAGUGGGGAAUAUUGCACAAUGGGGGAAACCCUGAUGCAGCGACGCCGCGUGGAGGAAGAAGGUCUUCGGAUUGUAAACUCCUGUUGUUGGGGAAGAUAAUGACGGUACCCAACAAGGAAGUGACGGCUAACUACGUGCCAGCAGCCGCGGUAAAACGUAGGUCACAAGCGUUGUCCGGAAUUACUGGGUGUAAAGGGAGCGCAGGCGGGAAGACAAGUUGGAAGUGAAAUCUAUGGGCUCAACCCAUAAACUGCUUUCAAAACUGUUUUUCUUGAGUAGUGCAGAGGUAGGCGGAAUUCCCGGUGUAGCGGUGGAAUGCGUAGAUAUCGGG
RNAcentral lists this ribosomal RNA (594 nucleotides) under uncultured Lachnospiraceae bacterium. Its description in RNAcentral is "bacterial SSU rRNA". It matches the Rfam family "Bacterial small subunit ribosomal RNA", at positions 91 to 701 of the family's 1533-position model. The record is from RNAcentral. Lineage: Bacteria; Bacillati; Bacillota; Clostridia; Lachnospirales; Lachnospiraceae.